AGUAAAAUAGAUUGGACAUUUGAAAACUAUAGUUGGCUGGUGAACAAUUGCCAUAUAAAGGCAGGGCUUUUGAAUCCUAGAGUAUUGACUACUUACCUAUUCUAAUGGAUUGCAAAUUUGGCAUGACACAACAGCACCUGCAUCCCAGACCAUUUAGAUUAUAUCAUACAAUACUUCUCCAUCCUGAUUUUACAAGAAUAUUUAAUGAAGUAUGGACAUAGUCUGAUGGAGGC
This 233-nucleotide long non-coding RNA is filed under the name Nicotiana benthamiana. RNAcentral's name for it is "long non-coding RNA (NBEN_LNC035313)". The record is from RNAcentral. Lineage: Eukaryota; Viridiplantae; Streptophyta; Magnoliopsida; Solanales; Solanaceae.